GCAUUUUUAGAGCCCAGGAAAGUUUCAGCAGUCCAACAAUAAGUCAAACUAUGAAGCCCCUCUGCCUCUGUUCCUUCUCCAUCUACAAAAUCCUUGAAAGGCUGCUUCAAACCUUCUCAACUGCAGAGCUGAGAAAAAAACACAGCCUCUCCCUCUCCCUCUCCCUCUCCCUCUCCCUCUCCCUCUCCCUCUCCCUCUCCCUCUCCCUCUC
This is a long non-coding RNA of Amblyraja radiata (thorny skate), 211 nucleotides long. RefSeq lists it as uncharacterized. The transcript is spliced from 3 exons. Lineage: Eukaryota; Metazoa; Chordata; Chondrichthyes; Rajiformes; Rajidae. The record is from RefSeq and is a predicted model, not a curated record.